GCAGUCUGCCGGUCUGUCGCUCAAAUUUAUGUUGGGAGGAAAGUCCGGGCAACACAGAGCGCCAUACUUCCUAACGGGAAGCUGUCUGCAAAGGCAGAGUAACGUAACAGAAAAUAACCGUCCCGCUUGCGGGAUAAGGGUGAAAAGGCGAGGUAAGAGCUCACCGGAUAGUUAUAGUAAUAUAGUAUGCCGUACGUCUUAUGGGUUGCAAGGUCAUGUAUACCGGCGCAUGUAGGGUUGCUCGCCCGAUGCCGGAGGGUAGACCGCUAGAGCUUACCGGCAACGGUAAGUCGAGAUAAAUGGCAGACACUUUUUCCGCAGGGAGGAAGAACAGAACCCGGCUUACAGGCAGACUGCAACU
RNAcentral lists this RNase P RNA (361 nucleotides) under Tannerellaceae bacterium. RNAcentral describes it as "RNase P RNA component class A". It matches the Rfam family "Bacterial RNase P class A". From Rfam's summary of the family: Ribonuclease P (RNase P) is a ubiquitous endoribonuclease, found in archaea, bacteria and eukarya as well as chloroplasts and mitochondria. Its best characterised activity is the generation of mature 5'-ends of tRNAs by cleaving the 5'-leader elements of precursor-tRNAs. Cellular RNase Ps are ribonucleoproteins. Lineage: Bacteria; Pseudomonadati; Bacteroidota; Bacteroidia; Bacteroidales; Tannerellaceae. The record is from RNAcentral.